GGUAUUUAUGACACCGGAUCGGUUUGGCCACCGAUCGGAGGUGUACUUAUCCGGAUGGGUCGUCCUGUGGGGCGGAUGGAUCAGGUUGGUGCAGAUAGUGACAGGCAGCGCUUGAGGUCUGCGGACCAAUAUAGCAGGCACAGAUUGGGUACAGUUACAGGUUUAUUACAUUGAGGCAUACUUGCAUUGUUUCUAUACAGUAGCAGUUUUAGUUCUUGCUUCUUAUAUACCUGUUAUAGCUACUGUAGUUUCCUUUUCGCAUCACAGUAUAUAUAUAUAUAUCUUGUUUAUCUAUCUCCUUUGGUUUUCGGUGAUUACGGCUUGCCUUCGUGGCUCUGUCGUACCCACUGGGAAACCAUGGUUGCGGUUUCUCACCCCCCAUUCCCCCAGGUAUUUCAGGAAAGGAGUUGGCUUUUGGGCACGACGAGAGGACGAUCUAGCUAGCUUGCCGUAGCGACCGUCACUCGGGUUACUUUUAUUUCCGCAUUUAGUAGUUUAUUAAUAAAUGGUUCAGUUAGAUAAUCUCUAUGAUUGUUUGCCUGUUCGUGGAUUGGUUUUGUGGAUAUUUUCGUUAUUCAUGCAUGUGAACGGAUAAUUGUGGAUCUGUGGUUUUUGGUUCUUGCAUUUAUGGAUUUACGCAUCGUAGUUUUCUACCCCUCGAGGUAGCUGGUUUUUAAAAUAGAGUUCCCGCGUGGGAAACAAUUUUAAAAAGAUUUUCGAAUGGUUUUCAUGGAUGAUUGAAUUAGAGUUUAAAAACAAAGCUUCCGGGUGGGGAGCACUUUUAAAUAGGAUGAUUAUUGUACUGUGCAUUGCAUCAUCCAGCGCCUAAGGAGUGUUUAGAGGGAUACAUCAUCUCUAAGGAUCGUUAGCUGUAUGAAAAUGCAUAUCAUGAAAUAGUUGUUUGUUUGUAAUUGUAGAUUGUAGUUGAGAUUCUGAUGUAACUAUUGGUACGCCGUGCAAAUACAAGGAGACUCUGUCUGAGCGGACAGAUGAACUUUGUAUUUGUGGCGGGUCUGUACGUCACGUGGGCCAGGUUGAAAAAAAAAUUAAAAAAGGCACGUUUUCCACAACUCUGAUUUCAAAAUGGUAAUAGUUCUAAAAAGGCUUUUAAAAUCGGCCCCGGGGAGUGACAGUUGACGAUGUUUUUAUGUGUAAUUUAAUUACAUAAGUACUUGUCAAGUUUCAAGAGAAAACGAGUUAGAAUGGAGAAGUUACGCGAUUAUUAGUUUUCACUUAAAGUGAAUACUAACUCCGAUUUUUCGGAGAGGCCACGGAGUAGAGUUGGGUUUCGGUGCGUAUCAGACUCUGUUCAUAGCGAUCCAAUAGCUCGUUUCGACCGGUUCAACUAUUCUGGAACCAAUGGCACUGACGGAUUUCAGAUCUGAUGCAUGGUUUUCGAGAAAAAGAGGUUUCAUGGGAUUAUAUAUAUGGUAUAUAUAUGUGUUAUAUGGUGGAAUGAAGAGAGGAUGAGUUUUGUCACAAAUCGGCGACCAAAUAAAAUGAAACAAAAUUGUAGAUGUGAUGCUGCAGUCGUGCUGAACGCGCUGGUGUGAUCCGAUCGAAAAUUCGACUGACGGAUCCUCGGGAAACGUGAGAAGUUCAUCGAGGGGUCUAAGGUG
RNAcentral lists this long non-coding RNA (1619 nucleotides) under Ananas comosus (pineapple). Its description in RNAcentral is "long non-coding RNA (ACOM_LNC012294)". Lineage: Eukaryota; Viridiplantae; Streptophyta; Magnoliopsida; Poales; Bromeliaceae. The record is from RNAcentral.